RNAcentral lists this ribosomal RNA (253 nucleotides) under uncultured bacterium. Its description in RNAcentral is "partial 16S ribosomal RNA". It matches the Rfam family "Bacterial small subunit ribosomal RNA", at positions 524 to 776 of the family's 1533-position model. The record is from RNAcentral.
UACAGAGGGGGCAAGCGUUGUUCGGAAUUACUGGGCGUAAAGGGCGCGUAGGUGGCCUUCUAAGUUGAACGUGAAAUCCCCGGGCUCAACCCGGGAACUGCGUCCGAUACUGGAAGGCUUGAAUCCGGGAGAGGGAUGCGGAAUUCCAGGUGUAGCGGUGAAAUGCGUGGAUAUCUGGAGGAACACCGGUGGCGAAGGCGGCAUCCUGGACCGGCAUUGACGCUGAGGCGCGAAAGCCAGGGGAGCAAACGGG